This 470-nucleotide long non-coding RNA is filed under the name Gossypium raimondii (Peruvian cotton). RNAcentral describes it as "long non-coding RNA (GRAI_LNC009390)". Lineage: Eukaryota; Viridiplantae; Streptophyta; Magnoliopsida; Malvales; Malvaceae. The record is from RNAcentral.
UGAGAAGUAAAAGUUUAGGGGAAAAAUAAAAAGUUUUGGAGAAUAAAAGUUUGAGAGAAAGUAAAUAGAUGGAGGGAAAAUAUUAAAAAAAAAUUGGAGGGGGAAGGGUUUGGGAUAGAUGGGAGGUGGGAUGGGAAGGGAAUAAAAGUUUUAGGGGAAAAGUGGGAGGAAGUAAAAAUUUUGGGGGAAAAUAAAAGGUUUUGAUGGUUUUUGGGAGUAAAAUUUUGAGAAAAAAUAAAUGGGAGAGUAAAAUUUUGGUGGGAAAUGGAUUUUGGGUAGAUUGGGGGGUUGGAAGGGGAGGGGAAUAAAAGUUUUGGGGGGAAAGUGGGAAGGAGUAAAAGUUUUGAGGGAAAAGUAAAAAGGUUUGGGAGUUUGGGGUAAAAAUGUAAAAUAUUAUAGUUUGAUAUUCGAAUUAUUCGAAUUCGAAAACUCAACUCGAUUUAAACUCGAAAUUCGAAAAAAAAUUCGAG